AUUGAGCAAACUCGCACCGACUGUUACGUAACAACUUUGAUGUCACGUCGCAGAUUUCUUCCGGCACUCAACAGCAAAAAAUCCAGUGAAAGAUCUCAAGCUGAAUGACAAGCAGUCAACACACAAGUUCAGCGGCGGAUAUAGCGAAAAGGGCCAUGGUACGAAUUAAUGAAAGUAUACGUCGUGAAUAUUCAGAUACACCUCUCGUGCUCACAGACAUUCCAAUGAGACGAAAGUUGCGAGGCACUAGUCCUGACAAAGUUGCCACCGGUGGUCAUUUGGUUUUGCAAAUCCAUGACGAACUACUGUAUGAACCAUUAUAAUCAAAAAAAAGGGUGGUGAAGGAUAAAUCCAGGUAAAAGUUUAAUCAACAACUCGAUGAGAAACAGUCUGAUCGAAAAAGAGCAUUCAACGAAUCAAACGUGACUAUGGGAAUCGCACGACUACUCUUCAGAUACUUGCACGCUAGGGGAAUAAAUCGAAAUCUCAACUGAGUCCUCAAAGUCGAACACACUUUUUUAAAGUCCAUUAUACCCGUUGUUUCCGCUGUUUGAUUGGAGGUCGAUGAGUUU
Venturia canescens is the source of this 572-nucleotide long non-coding RNA. RefSeq lists it as uncharacterized. NCBI's taxonomy places the organism in Eukaryota, Metazoa, Arthropoda, Insecta, Hymenoptera, Ichneumonidae. The transcript has 3 exons. The record is from RefSeq and is a predicted model, not a curated record.